Molecule: ribosomal RNA, 606 nt
Filed under: uncultured archaeon
Lineage: Archaea
Description: bacterial SSU rRNA
Rfam family: Archaeal small subunit ribosomal RNA
Source: RNAcentral
CCAGGGCCUACGGGGUGCAGCAGGCGCGAAACCUCCGCAAUGUGAGAAAUCGCGACGGGGGGAUCCCAAUUGCCAUUCUUACCGGGAUGGCUUUUCAUUAGUGUAAAGAGCUCUUGGAAUAAAAGCGUGGGCAAGACCGGUGCCAGCCGCCGCGGUAACACCGGCAGCUCUAGUGGUAGCAGUUUUUAUUGGGCCUAAAGCGUCCGUAGCCGGUUUAAUAAGUCUCUGGUGAAAUCCUGCAGCUUAACUGUGGGAAUUGCUGGAGAUACUAUUAGACUUGAGAUCGGGAGAGGUUAGAGGUACUCCCAGGGUAGAGGUGAAAUUCUGUAAUCCUGGGAGGACCGCCUGUUGCGAAGGCGUCUGACUGGAACGAUUCUGACGGUGAGGGACAAAAGCUAGGGGCGCGAACCGGAUUAGAUACCCGGGUAGUCCUAGCUGUAAACGAUGCGGACUUGGUGUUGGGGUGGCUUUGAGCUGUCCCAGUGCCGAAGGGAAGCUGUUGAGUCCGCCGCCUGGGAAGUACGGUCGGAAGACUGAAACUUAAAGGAAUUGGCGGGGGAGCACCACAACGCGUGGAGCCUGCGGUUUAAUUGGAGUCAACGCCGG